RNAcentral lists this small nuclear RNA (107 nucleotides) under Dasypus novemcinctus (nine-banded armadillo). Lineage: Eukaryota; Metazoa; Chordata; Mammalia; Cingulata; Dasypodidae. The record is from RNAcentral.
GUGCUCACUUUGGCAGCACAUGUACUAAAAUUGGAAUAAUACAGAGAAGAUUGGCAUGGGCCCUGCACAAGGGUGACACACAAAUUCAUGAAGCAUUCCAUAUUUUU